CUGCGUAUGCAGCAUUGGGGUCACUCAUGUACAUGUUUUGGCCGGAGGCACAGAGAGACACUCAAAACAUAAUAUCAGAUUUAUAAGGUCUAUCCAAAGCCAAAUUGCUUUCAUUGCUGCUUCAUAAACUGAGGGAUCGUAGCCUUUGUUCAAUGUCAAAAUGUGGCUAUUUCUUUUAUGUUCACGUUGAGUCGAGUCAUCUAUAAAUUCACCACUUAAGGACAUACCUAUCAUCUCCGA
RNAcentral lists this long non-coding RNA (240 nucleotides) under Olea europaea subsp. europaea. The record is from RNAcentral. Lineage: Eukaryota; Viridiplantae; Streptophyta; Magnoliopsida; Lamiales; Oleaceae.